Long non-coding RNA from Lycium ferocissimum, 571 nucleotides. RefSeq lists it as uncharacterized. The transcript is spliced from 2 exons. Lineage: Eukaryota; Viridiplantae; Streptophyta; Magnoliopsida; Solanales; Solanaceae. The record is from RefSeq and is a predicted model, not a curated record.
ACUCAGCUGUGAACCCCUUGAACCAGGAAUGUCUAUCCAUUGUAUCUGUAGCUCCGUUUCAUCACUCUCAACAUAUCUCAACCUAAGAAAAACAUUCUGUACAACCUGGAUCAGACAAGCAAGUUCGUCUGCUUGGCUUUAUUUUGGUUAUUAUGGUUCCACUUGGAAUGUUUUGGAACCGCAGUUCUUCACAUUUUAUCAAUGUGUUGCAAUUAUACGCUUAACGUUGUUUGGCUGGCGGGCUAGUUAUGCUGAGAUUAUAUCAUAUGGAUUGUUUAUAGUGAUAAUACCGUAAAGAUUGUCCAGCAACAACUUACUCCUACCAUUGAAGGCAGAGAGGUUGUUCCGAAAGACCCUCGGCUCAACUAAAACGUUGUUUCAAAAGUCCCUCGGCUCAAGUAGUUGCGUCUGCCUGGAGUCGAACCCGGGUCUAUUCCUUGGAAGGCAAUUAUUCUAACCGUUGGACUACAAACGCUCUCUGCAAGGAUUGUCCCUUAUGCAAAAAUAUGUCAUUUUCAAGAUUUGUUCUUGUUUUUCCACAUAUUUCUAAUACACAUAUUAUUACUGCUCA